AGUAACACGUGGAUAACCUACCUAUAAGACUGGGAUAACUUCGGUAAACCGGAGCUAAUACCGGAUAACAUUUGGAACCGCAUGGUUCUAAAGUGAAAGACGGUCUUGCUGUCACUUAUAGAUGGAUCCGCGCUGCAUUAGCUAGUUGGUAAUGUAACGGCUUACCAAGGCAACGAUGCAUAGCCGACCUGAGAGGGUGAUCGGCCACACUGGAACUGAGACACGGUCCAG
This 231-nucleotide ribosomal RNA is filed under the name uncultured Staphylococcus sp. RNAcentral's name for it is "partial 16S ribosomal RNA". It matches the Rfam family "Bacterial small subunit ribosomal RNA", at positions 109 to 334 of the family's 1533-position model. The record is from RNAcentral. Lineage: Bacteria; Bacillati; Bacillota; Bacilli; Caryophanales; Staphylococcaceae.